This is a long non-coding RNA of Lolium rigidum, 332 nucleotides long. RefSeq lists it as uncharacterized. The record is from RefSeq and is a predicted model, not a curated record. The transcript is spliced from 2 exons. NCBI's taxonomy places the organism in Eukaryota, Viridiplantae, Streptophyta, Magnoliopsida, Poales, Poaceae.
GAGAGGAUGCAUCCCUGGAGAGUUGCGUGGGGAAGCAUAGCUACAAUUUGAGGCAACAUAUUAACCAGGAACAAUUAAGAUGAGUGAUGAGGGGAGGAUUAGCUAGAGGAUGAAGUUUAUGGGCAAUCUGAAGAGUGCCCUCAUGAGAUAAAUUUAUGGACUGUCUGAACUACAAUGCUCUCAGAAUUAUUUUUUUGUAUCGCUUCCCUUCUAUUAGAAAAAUAGGAAAACAACAUCGCUUCUGGAAACUGUGUAUAAACCUUAGUGUAACUUCCUAGCUAUGACUUCUCCGGUAAUGUUCUGAAAUAAUAUAGGCUAAUGUUAUGCAGUCA